GUUCCUGUAGUGUAGUGGUUAUCACGUUUGCUUCACACGCAAAAGGUCUCUGGUUCGAAACCAAACAGAAACA
This 73-nucleotide transfer RNA is filed under the name Poecilia formosa (Amazon molly). It matches the Rfam family "tRNA". Rfam says of the family: Transfer RNA (tRNA) molecules are approximately 80 nucleotides in length. The record is from Rfam by way of RNAcentral. Lineage: Eukaryota; Metazoa; Chordata; Actinopteri; Cyprinodontiformes; Poeciliidae.